AGAGUUUGAUCCUGGCUCAGGAUGAACGCUAGCUACAGGCUUAACACAUGCAAGUCGAGGGGCAGCAUGAUUGAAGCUUGCUUCAAUCGAUGGCGACCGGCGCACGGGUGAGUAACACGUAUCCAACCUGCCGAUAACUCGGGGAUAGCCUUUCGAAAGAAAGAUUAAUACCCGAUAGCAUAGUAUUUCCGCAUGGUUUCACUAUUAAAGAAUUUCGGUUAUCGAUGGGGAUGCGUUCCAUUAGAUAGUUGGCGGGGUAACGGCCCACCAAGUCAACGAUGGAUAGGGGUUCUGAGAGGAAGGUCCCCCACAUUGGAACUGAGACACGGUCCAAACUCCUACGGGAGGCAGCAGUGAGGAAUAUUGGUCAAUGGACGAGAGUCUGAACCAGCCAAGUAGCGUGAAGGAUGACUGCCCUAUGGGUUGUAAACUUCUUUUAUACGGGAAUAAAGUGGAGUAUGCAUACUCCUUUGUAUGUACCGUAUGAAUAAGGAUCGGCUAACUCCGUGCCAGCAGCCGCGGUAAUACGGAGGAUCCGAGCGUUAUCCGGAUUUAUUGGGUUUAAAGGGAGCGUAGGCGGGUGCUUAAGUCAGUUGUGAAAGUUUGCGGCUCAACCGUAAAAUUGCAGUUGAUACUGGGCGCCUUGAGUGCAGCAUAGGUAGGCGGAAUUCGUGGUGUAGCGGUGAAAUGCUUAGAUAUCACGAAGAACUCCGAUUGCGAAGGCAGCUUACUGGACUGUAACUGACGCUGAUGCUCGAAAGUGUGGGUAUCAAACAGGAUUAGAUACCCUGGUAGUCCACACAGUAAACGAUGA
Molecule: ribosomal RNA, 814 nt
Filed under: uncultured bacterium
Lineage: Bacteria
Description: bacterial SSU rRNA
Rfam family: Bacterial small subunit ribosomal RNA
Source: RNAcentral